AAAAAAAAAAAAAAAAAACCUCUCCCCCCCCCUCAAAAAAAGAAAGAAAAUGGUAUGUUCUGCUCAAACACAAUAUCAGUGCUCAGAAACUCAUCCCUUUCCUGCUCACUUUUGUCUGCCCUCCUGUGUCCACACAAGAGCCCACACAGGUGCUCACACAGAUGCACCCACCUACAAGAUUAACCGUAUCCACAGUGGUUGGGUUCAAGAGUUACAACUGAUUCUGCUCUACUUGCAUCAGCACUCCUGGACCAUGCCCAAGUAACACAGCCAGGGUCUGGGCCAUAGAGCCAAAGUCCAAAUGUGCAAUAGAAUAAGUCAAAAGGAAAAACAGGGAAGAGGUGUCCUAAACCCGGCCUAAGCAGAGAGGGCCUGGGCCCUAGUGGCUGGGAAGGUACUCCUUCAGUUUCUGUCAGGAUGUGGGUGGGUAGGAGGCAGCUUCCCCCAGGGGACUUAGGUAAGGGCUAUGAACUGGACAGAAGCACAACUGUCCACGGAGGGGCUCUCAGGGUGAGAUCGUGGAUCCCCUUCAUAAUAGGGAAGGACCUAGAGAGUCAGGUAGGUGGAGGAGUGGGAAAGGACAGUAGACAUGGUUUCAUGCAAUGGGCAUCCCCCCCCCCCACUGCCCACACUUGGCACAUCACUGACUACCAAGGACGAGAAGAAGAGGAGAGGGACAGAGAGCAGGAGAGGUUUCCUGAAGACACCAGAGCCGCAAAUACAACUCUGGACCAUUGCAGCUGUCAGCCAGAACAGACAGGAGUACAGAUUCCAGCUCUGCCUUAGGUGUGGACCUUAUUAACAGGAGCUGAGAGAAGUCUUGGGGAAGUUUGUCCAUCCAGCUUUUACAGGCCCUCGACUCAACCCAGAAGGCCAUUCACCACCAUGUUCGAGAUGCUUUGCCUGUCCCCACCUCGGAUCUGUCCAUCCAUUCCAACCAGGAGACUCAAUGUGAGUCAAGAAAUUUACAACCCAGGGACUGACUCCAACCUGGAAGGGACCCUACACUGUCAUCCUCAUCAUUUUGACCACUGUCAAGGUCAAUGCCAUCCCGAUCAGCUGCACCACUCUCAAAUAAAGGCAGAGAAAUCAA
This is a long non-coding RNA of Tupaia belangeri chinensis (Chinese tree shrew), 1093 nucleotides long. RefSeq lists it as uncharacterized. Lineage: Eukaryota; Metazoa; Chordata; Mammalia; Scandentia; Tupaiidae. The record is from RefSeq and is a predicted model, not a curated record. The transcript has 2 exons.